RNAcentral lists this ribosomal RNA (970 nucleotides) under uncultured bacterium. Its description in RNAcentral is "bacterial SSU rRNA". It matches the Rfam family "Bacterial small subunit ribosomal RNA", at positions 110 to 1099 of the family's 1533-position model. The record is from RNAcentral.
GUAACAUAUAGUUAAUGUACCUUCAAGACUGGGAUAGCCACUGGAAACGGUGAUUAAUACUAGAUAUACCUUCAUAUCACAAGCUAUGAAGGGAAACGUUUUUUCGCUUGAAGAUCAGACUAUAUCCCAUCAGUUAGUUGGUAGGGUAAUGGCCUACCAAGGCAAUGACGGGUAGCGGGUUUGAGAGGAUGAUCCGCCACACUGGUACUGAGACACGGACCAGACUCCUACGGGAGGCAGCAGUGAGGAAUAUUGCACAAUGGAGGAAACUCUGAUGCAGCAACGCCGCGUGGAGGAUGACGCAUUUCGGUGUGUAAACUCCUUUUAUGAGUCAAGAAAAUGACGGUAGCUCAUGAAUAAGCACCGGCUAACCCCGUGCCAGCAGCCGCGGUAAUACGGAGGGUGCAAGCGUUACUCGGAAUCACUGGGCGUAAAGGACGCGUAGGCGGGAUGUCAAGUCAGGUGUGAAAUCCUAUGGCUCAACCAUAGAACUGCAUUUGAAACUGGCAACCUAGAGUAUGGGAGGGGGAGAUGGAAUUAGUGGUGUAGGGGUAAAAUCCGUAGAUAUCACUAGGAAUACCUAAAGCGAAGGCGAUCUCCUGGAACAUAACUGACGCUAAGGCGUGAAAGCGUGGGGAGCAAACAGGAUUAGAUACCCUGGUAGUCCACGCCCUAAACGAUGAACACUAGUCGUCGUGAUGCUUGUCAUUGCGGUGAUGCACUUAACAGAUUAAGUGUUCCGCCUGGGGAGUACGGUCGCAAGAUUAAAACUCAAAGGAAUAGACGGGGACCCGCACAAGUGGUGGAGCAUGUGGUUUAACUCGAAGAUACGCGAAAAACCUUACCUGGCCUUGACAUUGAUAGAAUCCAGCAGAGAUGCAGAGUGCCCUUCGGGGAGCUUGAAAACAGGUGCUGCACGGCUGUCGUCAGCUCGUGUCGUGAGAUGUUGGUUAAGUCCCGCAACGAGCGC